GAUGAACGCUGGCGGCGUGCCUAAUACAUGCAAGUCGAGCGAACGGACGAGAAGCUUGCUUCUCUGAGGUUAGCGGCGGACGGGUGAGUAACACGUGGAUAACCUACCUAUAAGACUGGGAUAACUUCGGGAAACCGGAGCUAAUACCGGAUGAUAUGUUGAACCGCAUGGUUCAAAAGUGAAAGACGGUCUUGCUGUCACUUAUAGAUGGAUCCGCGCUGCAUUAGCUAGUUGGUAAGGUAACGGCUUACCAAGGCAACGAUGCAUAGCCGACCUGAGAGGGUGAUCGGCCACACUGGAACUGAGACACGGUCCAGACUCCUACGGGAGGCAGCAGUAGGGAAUCUUCCGCAAUGGGCGCAAGCCUGACGGAGCAACGCCGCGUGAGUGAUGAAGGUCUUCGGAUCGUAAAACUCUGUUAUUAGGGAAGAACAUAUGUGUAAGUAACUGUGCACAUCUUGACGGUACCUAAUCAGAAAGCCACGGCUAACUACGUG
This 497-nucleotide ribosomal RNA is filed under the name uncultured bacterium. Its description in RNAcentral is "partial 16S ribosomal RNA". It matches the Rfam family "Bacterial small subunit ribosomal RNA", at positions 28 to 507 of the family's 1533-position model. The record is from RNAcentral.